AAAAAAUUAGUUAAAAUAACAUAACAUUAAUUUGUCAAAUUAAAAUUAUUAAAUAUAAAUAUUUUUUA
Molecule: transfer RNA, 68 nt
Filed under: Nurudea yanoniella
Lineage: Eukaryota; Metazoa; Arthropoda; Insecta; Hemiptera; Aphididae
Description: tRNA-Asp
Source: RNAcentral